Molecule: long non-coding RNA, 398 nt
Filed under: Apteryx owenii (little spotted kiwi)
Lineage: Eukaryota; Metazoa; Chordata; Aves; Apterygiformes; Apterygidae
Description: lncRNA (ENSAOWG00000002191.1)
Source: RNAcentral
CAGGAUACUGCCAUUUUAGGAGCUGCGCUGAACUUCAGUUUCUGUUGCUAGCAGCAGCUGUAGCAGUUAUUUUUACUUUGGAUGAGUUCCCUACAAGAGUUCACCAUUCAGCUGUACAAACAGCUACAUGGCAGAACAGAGAGAACAGAGCGGGAGUUCAGCGCUUUGAAACAAUGAGAGCACCAGCGUGGACUGUUUAAGAUUUGCUUACAAUUGACCAUUAAUGAGGGGCAGAAUCAGUUUGGCUGAAGUUUCACAGACAAAAAGCGUCAGAGCAGGAGACUCCCAGCUUCUGACUCCAGCUCUACUGAACAGAUCGUAUUAAAGGAAUCACAGUCAAGUCAUAAACACAAGAAGACAGAACAAAAUUAAAUUUUAAUCUUUAUGUAAAAAAGGAU